UAGGGAAUCUUCCACAAUGGACGCAAGUCUGAUGGAGCAACGCCGCGUGAGUGAAGAAGGUUUUCGGAUCGUAAAGCUCUGUUGUUGGUGAAGAAGGAUAGAGGCAGUAACUGGUCUUUAUUUGACGGUAAUCAACCAGAAAGUCACGGCUAACUACGUGCCAGCAGCCGCGGUAAUACGUAGGUGGCAAGCGUUGUCCGGAUUUAUUGGGCGUAAAGCGAGCGCAGGCGGAAUGAUAAGUCUGAUGUGAAAGCCCACGGCUCAACCGUGGAACUGCAUCGGAAACUGUCAGUCUUGAGUGCAGAAGAGGAGAGAGGAACUCCAUGUGUAGCGGUGGAAUGCGUAGAUAUAUGGAAGAACACCAGUGGCGAAGGCGGCUCUCUGGUCUGCAACUGACGCUGAGGCUCGAAAGCAUGGGUAGCGAACA
RNAcentral lists this ribosomal RNA (427 nucleotides) under uncultured prokaryote. RNAcentral describes it as "bacterial SSU rRNA". It matches the Rfam family "Bacterial small subunit ribosomal RNA", at positions 355 to 774 of the family's 1533-position model. The record is from RNAcentral.